ACUUACCUCAAUGACAUGACCAGUGUCUGAGCCUACAACUGCGCUAUCUUCCCUGGAUUUUUCUUCACCUUUUCCUUACUCAUGAGCCAGAUGGAGCUAAGAUUGGAACUGAGGUCUGGCUAUAAAGCUGCCUUUAUGUCCAUCGCAUCCUAAGGGCUGCUGUUGCUCUUCUGCCUCUACACUGAUGGACUACGUCAGAACAUCAAUAUGCUGUAUUGAUGAUAAUGGAUGAUAUUUUCUUAGUUGUGCCAAUAUUACUCUUGAGGGAAGAAAUGAUGCCAAGCACUUAAAAAAUAUUGUGCCACUUCCUUCUGGCCUCCAUGGUUUGAGAUGGAGAACUCUGCUGUCACCCUCAUUGAUCUUUCCCUUCACACCAAUGCCAAUUCCAGACUAACAUCCUGAAGCUCCAGUUUUGAGGGGUGCAAGCUGCAAGACUGAUAUCAACAUCCACCAAAUACCACUGAUGAGUGGCAAGUAUUAAAAAAACACAGAAAAUCCCACAGCAUGUUGUGGGUUGAAUUAUGCUUCUUCCCUCCCCAGAAGAGGGCUUUCAGAACUAAGGCUGCACACCUAUGACCAUCUGAUCUUCAACAAAGCUGACAAAAACAAGCAACGGGGAAAGGACUUCCUAAUCAAUAAAUGGUGCUGGGAUAACUGGCUAGCCAUGUGCAGAAGAUUGAAGCUGAACCCCUUCCUUGCGCUAUAUAUGAAAAUCAGCUCAAGAUAGAUUAAAGAGUUAAAUGUGAAAUCCAAAACUAUAAAAACCCUGGAAGACAACCUAGGCAAUACCAUCCUGGACACAGGAACAGGCAAACAUUUCAUGACAAAUACACCAAAAGAAAUUGCAACAAAAGCAAAAAUUGACAAAUGGGAUCUAAUUCAACUUAAGAGCUUCUGCACAGCAAAAGAAACUAUCAGAGUAAAGAGUCAAUCUACAGAAUGGGAGAAAAUUUUUACAAACUACGCAUCAGAAAAAAGUCUAAUAUCCAGCAUCUAUAAGGAAUUAAACAAAUUUACAAGAGAAAAAUAAAUAUCCCCAUUACAAAGUGGGCAAAGUUCAUGAACAGACACUUCUCAAAAGAAGACAUACAUGUGGUCAACAAGCAUCUGAAAAAAUCCAAUAUCACUGAUCAUUAGAGAAAUGCAAAUCAAAACCACAAUGAGAUACCAUCUGACACCAGUCAGAAUGGCUAUUAUAAAAAGUUAAACAAACAAACAAAAAACAACCCAACAGAUGCUUGUGAGGUUGCAGAGAAAUGGGAACACUUAUACACUGUUGGUGGGAGUGUAAAUUAGUUCAGUCAUCGUGGAAAGCAGUAUGGCAAUUCCUCAAAGAACUAAAAACAGAACUACCAUUCAACCCAGCAAUCCCAUUACUGGGUACAUACCCAAAGGAGUAUAAAUCAUUCUACCAUAAAGACACAUACACAUGUAUGUUCACUGCAGCACUAUUCACAAUAGCAAAGACAUGCAAUCAACUUAAAUGCCCAUCAAUGACAGACUGGAUAAGGAAAAUGUGGCACAUAUACACCAUGGAAUAUGAUGCAGCCGUAAAAAAGAACAAGACCAUGUCUUUUAUGGGAACAUGAGUGGAGAUGGAGGCUAUUAGCCUUAGCAAACUAACAAAGGAACAGAAAACCAAAUACCACAUGUUCUCACUUAUAGGUGGAAGCUAAAUGAUGAGAACUCAUGAACACGAGGAAGGGAAAAACAGACACUGGGGUCUACUGGAGGGUGGAGGGUAGGAGAAGGGAGAGGAGCAGAAAGAUAACUAUUGGGUACUGGGCUUAAUAACUGGGUAAUGAAAUAAUCUGUACAACAAACCCCUGUGACAGAAGUUUACCUGUAUAACAAACCUUCACAUGUAC
Long non-coding RNA from Homo sapiens (human), 1868 nucleotides. Ensembl annotates it as EIF1B antisense RNA 1. Its record names the gene EIF1B-AS1. NCBI's taxonomy places the organism in Eukaryota, Metazoa, Chordata, Mammalia, Primates, Hominidae. The record is from Ensembl.